Long non-coding RNA from Leucoraja erinaceus (little skate), 2016 nucleotides. RefSeq lists it as uncharacterized. The record is from RefSeq and is a predicted model, not a curated record. Lineage: Eukaryota; Metazoa; Chordata; Chondrichthyes; Rajiformes; Rajidae. The transcript has 2 exons.
UCUCUCUGCCUUUCCCUCUCUCUCUGUCCCUCUCUCUCCCUCCCUCCCACCCCCUCUCUCCCUCUCUCGCUUUGUCCACAAGGUUAGCUCACAAGACACCGAGGGAAGAUCUCUUCAGAAUAACUGAUGUGAUUUUUUAAUGAGCCUAUAUUGUGUACAAAACACACAAACCAGGAGCAAAUACAUGAUGAUGAUGAUGAUGAUGAUGAUUCUGAGCUGUGCUGGGUCAGAUACCAGAUCCCAAGCUUGAGAUGUGACAACUAAAAUAAUAAUACAAUGGUUUUUCCUUUUCAUCCUGUGGGCAACACUAAUAGUUUGGCCGCUUCUCCGGCACAAUACUAGCCGGCGCUCACCCCGGGAGUUUGGUGUGCCUGGUCGUGAUCGGAGUGCGAGCCAAACACUUGAGUCCCCAUGAAACAGUGGGGAUGGAGGGGAGGGGGGGGGUGGAAAAGACCCCCAGAUUUGGCGCUGGGGCCGCCGAAACUACUCGCCCGCGACCCACACACGGGCGCAGUCCGUAGACGAUCCCCUUUACCGAGGGAAGAGAUUUAAAAAAACACGUGCCGUUGAAGCCUGAUGCCCCUGUCCCACUUAGGAAACCUGAACGGAAACCUCUGGAGACUUUGCGCCCCGACCAAGGUUUCCGUAGUGGAAGCAGGUAGGGAGACGGACAAAAACCUCCGGGAACCGCACGGAAACCUUGGGUGGGGCGCAAAGUCUCCAGAGGUUUCCGUUCAGGUUUCCUAAGUGGGACAGGGGCAUAAGGCUGCUGGCGUUCUGCUAGCAAGCAGGCGCUGUGUGUCUCUCUCUCUAUCUCUAUCUCUCUCCCUCAGUGGACUAAAGGGAGGUGAUGUUGUGGUUUUUAUCGUCAGUGAACGGCGAGACUCGAACCGCUCUCGCCCGAAAGAGAAAAAAAAAACUUCCACCAGUCAUUUUCCGUGCUUUUAAAAGUCAAAAACAAAAAAUCGCCAGAACGUGUGGGAACCCCUGAAUGUGCCGACUGCUGCAUUUAUUUUAAUAUGAAUUUUAUUAACAGACAGCAGUGGAAUUCACAAGGCUUUUGCGUUCCUUACAAUGGCCAUCUUCCACACACACACACACACUAGGAACAUCGACGAUUCAUUUACAGAAGAUAUGAGACAAAAGUUGAAGUCCGCGUAGUUUUUAUUUUCUCUCCAGAAGAAAAUCAAUGAUAUGUAUGUUUGGAAAAUAACCGAUGGGGGGGAGAAACAAAAUGAGGUUGAAACGACUUGUAUAUCCUUUACGAUUCUGUUUGUUCUUGUUAAUCUUUAGUAAACGGUUUGAUGUCGUCCUGUUUCCGCGGGACGAUGUCGGACGCAAGGUUUUAAAGGAAAAAAAAAAUCUUAUGCUCCUGCAUCAAUCCUUCCCCUUCCCCAUCCCCUAUAAUCCUGAAUCGAAAUCCUAACAAAUCCCUGGUUUUUAAUUUUUUAAAAACCCCCCCCCCCCCCCCCGACUAAUUUCUAGUUUUCUCUCCCCAACUAUGUAGGCUUUCAGAUAGUCGACACACUUAAAACAUUACGCUGUCCAAUUUUUACCCCCCACCCAAGUUUAUUUCUCUAUGUACGCAUAUAAGCAUUUUGUGAAGUGAAAUUGCCCCCCCCCCCCCCCCCCCCCUCCUCCCGCCACCUCUCCCCUCUCCAACCUUCCAUGGUGGUUACCCAAGAAUGAUUUCUCCCCAGUAUUUGCUUGCCCAGAUAAUACUCCCCCAUCGUUCCCCUGCUCUUUAUCACACAGUAGUGAAUAAUGUCCAGUGCGAUCCUUUAUCCACCACCUUCGCCCUGACCCGUCCCAAUUGAAAGACCCCCACCCCCCCCGAUCUCCCAUUGCUGAUUAGUAACUGUAUCGAUGUUAUGUUGAGAAUAUGUGAUUUUCUUUUCCGCUCACUGAAGAGAAAGCGAUGAGGGGAACAGGGCAGUUGUUGGCUCAAGGCUGUGCUGUUUAUAGGGUGGAAGAUACAUGCUUAAUUAAUAAAAAGUCUAUUCUUUUAGUAUAAAA